AACGAACGCUGGCGGCAUGCCUAACACAUGCAAGUCGAACGAGACCUUCGGGUCUAGUGGCGCACGGGUGCGUAACGCGUGGGAACCUGCCCUUAGGUUCGGAAUAACUCCCCGAAAGGGGUGCUAAUACCGGAUAAUGUCUUCGGACCAAAGAUUUAUCGCCUUUGGAUGGGCCCGCGUUGGAUUAGCUAGUUGGUAGGGUAAAAGCCUACCAAGGCGACGAUCCAUAGCUGGUCUGAGAGGAUGAUCAGCUACACUGGGACUGAGACACGGCCCAGACUCCUACGGGAGGCAGCAGUGGGGAAUAUUGGACAAGGGGCGAAAGCCUGAUCCAGCAAUGCCGCGUGAGUGAUGAAGGCCUUAGGGUUGUAAAGCUCUUUUACCCGGGAUGAUAAUGACAGUACCGGGAGAAUAAGCUCCGGCUAACUCCGUG
Molecule: ribosomal RNA, 433 nt
Filed under: uncultured bacterium
Lineage: Bacteria
Description: partial 16S ribosomal RNA
Rfam family: Bacterial small subunit ribosomal RNA
Source: RNAcentral